Molecule: ribosomal RNA, 938 nt
Filed under: Staphylococcus simulans
Lineage: Bacteria; Bacillati; Bacillota; Bacilli; Caryophanales; Staphylococcaceae
Description: bacterial SSU rRNA
Rfam family: Bacterial small subunit ribosomal RNA
Source: RNAcentral
UGGCAUUCCCCUGACCGGUACCUAAUUCAGAAAGCCCCGGCUAACUACGUGCCCAGCAGCCCGCGGUAAUACGUAAGUGGGCCAAGCGUAUCCGGAAUUAUUUGGGCGUAAAAGCCGCGCGUAGGGCGGGUUUCUUAAAGUCUGAUGUGAAAACCCCACCGGCUCAACCCGUGGAGGGUCAUUGGAAACUGGGAAACUUGAGUGCAGAAGAGGAAAAGUGGAAUUCCAUGUGUAGCGGUGAAAUGCGCAGAGAUAUGGAGGRAACACCAGUGGCGAAGGGGACUUUCUGGUCUGCAACUGACGCUGAUGUGCGAAAGCGUGGGGAUCAAACAGGAUUAGAUACCCUGGUAGUCCACGCCGUAAACGAUGAGUGCUAAGUGUUAGGGGGUUUCCGCCCCUUAGUGCUGCAGCUAACGCAUUAAGCACUCCGCCUGGGGAGUACGGCCGCAAGGCUGAAACUCAAAGGAAUUGACGGGGACCCGCACAAGCGGUGGAGCAUGUGGUUUAAUUUGAAGCAACGCGAAGAACCUUACCAAAUCUUGACAUCCUUUGACAACUCUGGAGACAGAGCCUUCCCCUUUGGGGGACAAAGUGACAGGUGGUGCAUGGUUGUCGUCAGCUCGUGUCGUGAGAUGUUGGGUUAAGUCCCGCAACGAGCGCAACCCUUAAGCUUAGUUGCCAGCAUUAAGUUGGGCACUCUAAGUUGACUGCCGGUGACAAACCGGAGGAAGGUGGGGAUGACGUCAAAUCAUCAUGCCCCUUAUGAUUUGGGCUACACACGUGCUACAAUGGACGGUACAAAGGGCAGCGAACCCGCGAGGUCAAGCAAAUCCCAUAAAGCCGUUCUCAGUUCGGAUUGUAGUCUGCAACUCGACUACAUGAAGCUGGAAUCGCUAGUAAUCGUAGAUCAGCAUGCUACGGUGAAUACGUUACCCGCG